RNAcentral lists this ribosomal RNA (564 nucleotides) under uncultured Gammaproteobacteria bacterium. RNAcentral's name for it is "bacterial SSU rRNA". It matches the Rfam family "Bacterial small subunit ribosomal RNA", at positions 36 to 595 of the family's 1533-position model. The record is from RNAcentral. Lineage: Bacteria; Pseudomonadati; Pseudomonadota; Gammaproteobacteria.
CUGGCGGCAGGCUUACACAUGCAAGUCGAGCGGUAACAGAGAUAGCUUGCUAUCUGCUGACGAGCGGCGGACGGGCGAGUAAUGCUUGGGAAUAUGCCUUUAGGUGGGGGACAACAGUUGGAAACGACUGCUAAUACCGCAUAAUGUCUACGGACCAAAGAGGGGGACCUUCGGGCCUCUUGCCUUUAGAUUAGCCCAAGUGAGAUUAGCUAGAUGGUGGGGUAAUGGCUUACCAUGGCGACGAUCUCUAGCUGGUUUGAGAGGAUGAUCAGCCACACUGGGACUGAGACACGGCCCAGACUCCUACGGGAGGCAGCAGUGGGGAAUAUUGCACAAUGGGCGCAAGCCUGAUGCAGCCAUGCCGCGUGUGUGAAGAAAGCCUUCGGGUUGUAAAGCACUUUCAGUAAGGAGGAAAGGUUAAGUGUUAAUAGCACUUAGCUGUGACGUUACUUACAGAAGAAGCACCGGCUAACUCCGUGCCAGCAGCCGCGGUAAUACGGAGGGUGCGAGCGUUAAUCGGAAUUACUGGGCGUAAAGCGUACCAGCGGUUUGUUAGCGAGAUGU